RNAcentral lists this ribosomal RNA (477 nucleotides) under uncultured anaerobic ammonium-oxidizing bacterium. RNAcentral describes it as "bacterial SSU rRNA". It matches the Rfam family "Bacterial small subunit ribosomal RNA", at positions 365 to 832 of the family's 1533-position model. The record is from RNAcentral.
UUCGCAAUGCCCGAAAGGGUGACGAAGCGACGCCGCGUGUGGGAAGAAGGCCUUCGGGUUGUAAACCACUGUCGGGAGUUAAGAAAUGCAAGGAUAUUAAUAGUGUCUUUGUUUGACUAAGGCUCCGGAGGAAGCCACGGCUAACUCUGUGCCAGCAGCCGCGGUAAUACAGAGGCGGCAAGCGUUGUUCGGAAUUAUUGGGCGUAAAGAGCACGUAGGCGGCUAUGUAAGUCGGUUGUGAAAGCCUUCCGCUCAACGGAAGAACAGCAUCCGAUACUACAUGGCUUGAGUGCGGGAGGGGAGAGUAGAACUUCUGGUGGAGCGGUGAAAUGCGUAGAUAUCAGAAGGAACGCCGGCGGCGAAAGCGGCUCUCUGGCCCAUAACUGACGCUGAGUGUGCGAAAGCUAGGGGAGCAAACGGGAUUAGAUACCCCGGUAGUCCUAGCCGUAAACGAUGGGCACUAAGUAGAGGGGUUUU